This is a long non-coding RNA of Solanum tuberosum (potato), 725 nucleotides long. RefSeq lists it as uncharacterized. The record is from RefSeq and is a predicted model, not a curated record. NCBI's taxonomy places the organism in Eukaryota, Viridiplantae, Streptophyta, Magnoliopsida, Solanales, Solanaceae. The transcript is spliced from 3 exons.
AACACAGAUUGGUAUUAGGGUUCUUUUCAAGAUUUGGUUUUGGGUUGCAGGUCCAUCAUGGCUAGAGCUUUAGUUCAGUCAAUAAACAUUCCAUCUUCAGUUGCUGUUGCUGGUGAAAGGGAUGGACAAUUCAAUGGAUCCCGGAAAAAUCAAACAAGUGUUAGAAUGAUAUGUGAUGUAAAAUUUCCUUCCUUAAAUCUGAAGAGUUUUGUAGGACUGCGAGGGUGCAAUGUAUUAGAUGCAAAAUCUGGAGAAACUCUCCAUUCAAAAGUGGCAGCUGCAACUUUUGUCAAACAGCCACGAGGGUGUCGAAUUGUCCCAAAAGCAAUGUCUGAGCAGCGCACCACCAAGAAAGCAGUAAAAGUAAUUAUGCUUGCACAAGAAGAGUCCAGACGACUAGGUCACAAUUUAAUUGGGACAGAACAAAUUCUGUUGGGUCGAGAACUGGUACUGCUGCUAAGGUUCUUAAAUCCAUGGGAAUCAAUUUGAGAGAUGCUUGUAUUGAAGUAGAGAAGAUUACUGGCAAGGUUAGUGGAUUCGUUGCAGUGGAAAUCCCUUUUACUCGUCAUGCAAAGCGUGUUCUUGAACUCUCUCGAGAGGAAGCCAGCCAACUAGGGCAUAAUUACGUUGACUCAGAACACUUGCUACUUGGAUUGUUGCGCGGUGGUAAAGGUGUGGCCGCUCGUGUUCUUGAAAACUUGGGUGCUGACCCCAAUAACAUUUAC